AAGACAAUACUUUCAGGGAUCAUUUCUACAGUUCAUUACUAGAGAAGUUUCUCUGAAUGUGUAGAGCAGGGGUCCCCAAUCCCAGGG
Pongo abelii (Sumatran orangutan) is the source of this 87-nucleotide small nucleolar RNA. Its record names the gene U3. It matches the Rfam family "Small nucleolar RNA U3". Rfam says of the family: Small nucleolar RNAs (snoRNAs) are involved in the processing and modification of rRNA in the nucleolus. There are two main classes of snoRNAs: the box C/D class, and the box H/ACA class. NCBI's taxonomy places the organism in Eukaryota, Metazoa, Chordata, Mammalia, Primates, Hominidae. The record is from Ensembl.